This 372-nucleotide ribosomal RNA is filed under the name uncultured organism. RNAcentral's name for it is "bacterial SSU rRNA". It matches the Rfam family "Bacterial small subunit ribosomal RNA", at positions 526 to 896 of the family's 1533-position model. The record is from RNAcentral.
CGGAGGGUGCGAGCGUUGUCCGGAAUCACUGGGCGUAAAGGGCGCGUAGGCGGCGCGGCCAGUCCGUGGUGAAAGCUCAGGGCUCAACUCUGAGUCGGCCAUGGAUACUGCUGCGCUCGAGCACUGUAGAGGCAGGUGGAAUUCCGGGUGUAGCGGUGGAAUGCGUAGAGAUCCGGAAGAACACCGGUGGCGAAGGCGGCCUGCUGGGCAGUAGCUGACGCUGAGGCGCGACAGCGUGGGGAGCAAACAGGAUUAGAUACCCUGGUAGUCCACGCCGUAAACGAUGGGCACUAGGUGCUUGGGGGAGCGACCCCUUGAGUGCCGGCGCUAACGCAUUAAGUGCCCCGCCUGGGGAGUACGGCCGCAAGGCUG